This 221-nucleotide ribosomal RNA is filed under the name uncultured bacterium. Its description in RNAcentral is "partial 16S ribosomal RNA". It matches the Rfam family "Bacterial small subunit ribosomal RNA", at positions 30 to 248 of the family's 1533-position model. The record is from RNAcentral.
AUUGAACGCUGGCGGCAUGCCUUACACAUGCAAGUCGAACGGCAGCGACGGGGGCAACCCUGGUGGCGAGUGGCGAACGGGUGAGUAAUGCAUCGGAACGUGCCCAGUAGUGGGGGAUAACUAGUCGAAAGAUUAGCUAAUACCGCAUACGACCUAUGGGUGAAAGCGGGGGACCUUUACCGGCCUCGCGCUAUCGGAGCGGCCGAUGUCUGAUUAGCUUA